GACGAACGCUGGCGGCGUGCUUAACACAUGCAAGUCGAACGGAAAGGCCCUGCUUUUGUGGGGUGCUCGAGUGGCGAACGGGUGAGUAACACGUGAGUAACCUGCCCUUGACUUUGGGAUAACUUCAGGAAACUGGGGCUAAUACCGGAUAGGAGCUCCUGCUGCAUGGUGGGGGUUGGAAAGUUUCGGCGGUUGGGGAUGGACUCGCGGCUUAUCAGCUUGUUGGUGGGGUAGUGGCUUACCAAGGCUUUGACGGGUAGCCGGCCUGAGAGGGUGACCGGCCACAUUGGGACUGAGAUACGGCCCAGACUCCUACGGGAGGCAGCAGUGGGGAAUAUUGCACAAUGGGCGGGAGCCUGAUGCAGCAACGCCGCGUGCGGGAUGACGGCCUUCGGGUUGUAAACCGCUUUCGCCUGUGACGAAGCGUGAGUGACGGUAAUGGGUAAAGAAGCACCGGCUAACUACGUGCCAGCAGCCGCGGUGAUACGUAGGGUGCGAGCGUUGUCCGGAUUUAUUGGGCGUAAGGGCUCGUAGGUGGUUGAUCGCGUCGGAAGUGUAAUCUUGGGGCUUAACCCUGAGCGUGCUUUCGAUACGGGUUGACUUGAGGAAGGUAGGGGAGAAUGGAAUUCCUGGUGGAGCGGUGGAAUGCGCAGAUAUCAGGAGGAACACCAGUGGCGAAGGCGGUUCUCUGGGCCUUUCCUGACGCUGAGGAGCGAAAGCGUGGGGAGCGAACAGGCUUAGAUACCCUGGUAGUCCACGCUGUAAACGGUGGGUACUAGGUGUGGGGUCCAUUCCACGGGUUCCGUGCCGUAGCUAACGCUUUAAGUACCCCGCCUGGGGAGUACGGCCGCAAGGCUAAAACUCAAAGGAAUUGACGGGGCCCCGCACAAGCGGCGGAGCAUGCGGAUUAAUUCGAUGCAACGCGUAGAACCUUACCUGGGUUUGACAUGGAUCGGGAGUGCUCAGAGAUGGGUGUGCCUCUUUUGGGGUCGGUUCACAGGUGGUGCAUGGCUGUCGUCAGCUCGUGUCGUGAGAUGUUGGGUUAAGUCCCGCAACGAGCGCAACCCUUGUUCACUGUUGCCAGCACGUUAUGGUGGGGACUCAGUGGAGACCGCCGGGGUCAACUCGGAGGAAGGUGGGGAUGACGUCAAGUCAUCAUGCCCCUUAUGUCCAGGGCUUCACGCAUGCUACAAUGGCUGGUACAGAGAGUGGCGAGCCUGUGAGGGUGAGCGAAUCUCGGAAAGCCGGUCUCAGUUCGGAUUGGGGUCUGCAACUCGACCUCAUGAAGUCGGAGUCGCUAGUAAUCGCAGAUCAGCAACGCUGCGGUGAAUACGUUCCCGGG
This 1342-nucleotide ribosomal RNA is filed under the name uncultured bacterium. RNAcentral's name for it is "16S ribosomal RNA". It matches the Rfam family "Bacterial small subunit ribosomal RNA", at positions 28 to 1378 of the family's 1533-position model. The record is from RNAcentral.